RNAcentral lists this non-coding RNA (117 nucleotides) under Homo sapiens (human). Lineage: Eukaryota; Metazoa; Chordata; Mammalia; Primates; Hominidae. The record is from Rfam by way of RNAcentral.
GCCGGGCGCGGUGGCUCACGCCUGUAAUCCUAGCACUUUGGGAGGCCGAGGCAGGCGGAUCAUCUGAGGUCAGGAGUUCUAGACCAGCCUGGCCAACAUGGUGAAACCCCGUCUCUA